GAAUAUCUAUUUUGUCCCCUUCAAAGUAAUCCCCCAUGGCUGAAGAGGAUCUUAAUUGGUCUUAGAACGGCCUGAGGUUGAGGGGUUUUAGUCGGUAGUUCGGAGGACUUCUUCCUCGGGAAUCCGACACUACCCAGUCGUACGGACGGCUGGGUGUCUUUUGAAGAUUUCCCCUCUUCCACGAAA
This is a non-coding RNA of Agrilus planipennis (emerald ash borer), 186 nucleotides long. NCBI's taxonomy places the organism in Eukaryota, Metazoa, Arthropoda, Insecta, Coleoptera, Buprestidae. The record is from Rfam.